RNAcentral lists this ribosomal RNA (468 nucleotides) under uncultured bacterium. Its description in RNAcentral is "partial 16S ribosomal RNA". It matches the Rfam family "Bacterial small subunit ribosomal RNA", at positions 28 to 507 of the family's 1533-position model. The record is from RNAcentral.
GACGAACGCUGGCGGCGUGCUUAACACAUGCAAGUCGAACGGAAAGGCCCUGCUUUUGUGGGGUGCUCGAGUGGCGAACGGGUGAGUAACACGUGAGUAACCUGCCCUUGACUUUGAGAUAACUUCAGGAAACUGGGGCUAAUACCGGAUAGGAGCUCCUGCUGCAUGGUGGGGGUUGGAAAGUUUCGGCGGUUGGGGAUGGACUCGCGGCUUAUCAGCUUGUUGGUGGGGUAGUGGCUUACCAAGGCUUUGACGGGUAGCCGGCCUGAGAGGGUGACCGGCCACAUUGGGACUGAGAUACGGCCCAGACUCCUACGGGAGGCAGCAGUGGGGAAUAUUGCACAAUGGGCGGAAGCCUGAUGAAGCAACGCCGCGUGCGGGAUGACGGCCUUCGGGUUGUAAACCGCUUUCGCCUGUGACGAAGCGUGAGUGACGGUAAUGGGUAAAGAAGCACCGGCUAACUACGUG